CGUAUCACUUAAAGCGAUUCAGCGGGUUACGAUUGACGGAGCGAAGCGACGUCAAAGCGUAUACAAAGUCGAGUCGGUUUAAGGAUACGUUCGUUGGGUAGGGGAGCGUUCUGUAAGCCUGUGAAGGUGGCCUGUGAGGGUUGCUGGAGGUAUCAGAAGUGCGAAUGCUGACAUAAGUAACGAUAAAGCGGGUGAAAAGCCCGCUCGCCGGAAGACCAAGGGUUCCUGUCCAACGUUAAUCGGGGCAGGGUGAGUCGACCCCUAAGGCGAGGCCGAAAGGCGUAGUCGAUGGGAAACGGGUUAAUAUUCCCGUACUUGGUGUUACUGCGAAGGGGGGACGGAGAAGGCUAUGUUGGCCGGGCGACGGUUGUCCCGGUUUAAGCGUGUAGGUGUGUGUUCCAGGUAAAUCCGGUUCACUUUAACACUGAGGCGUGACGACGAGGCACUACGGUGCUGAAGCAACAAAUGCCCUGCUUCCAGGAAAAGCCUCUAAGCAUCAGGUAACAUCAAAUCGUACCCCAAACCGACACAGGUGGUCAGGUAGAGAAUACCAAGGCGCUUGAGAGAACUCGGGUGAAGGAACUAGGCAAAAUGGUGCCGUAACUUCGGGAGAAGGCACGCUGACACGUAGGUGAAGUGAUUUACUCAUGGAGCUGAAGUCAGUCGAAGAUACCAGCUGGCUGCAACUGUUUAUUAAAAACACAGCACUGUGCAAACACGAAAGUGGACGUAUACGGUGUGACGCCUGCCCGGUGCCGGAAGGUUAAUUGAUGGGGUCAGCGCAAGCGAAGCUCCUGAUCGAAGCCCCGGUAAACGGCGGCCGUAACUAUAACGGUCCUAAGGUAGCGAAAUUCCUUGUCGGGUAAGUUCCGACCUGCACGAAUGGCGUAAUGAUGGCCAGGCUGUCUCCACCCGAGACUCAGUGAAAUUGAACUCGCUGUGAAGAUGCAGUGUACCCGCGGCAAGACGGAAAGACCCCGUGAACCUUUACUAUAGCUUGACACUGAACAUUGAGCCUUGAUGUGUAGGAUAGGUGGGAGGCUUUGAAGUGUGGACGCCAGUCUGCAUGGAGCCGACCUUGAAAUACCACCCUUUAAUGUUUGAUGUUCUAACGUGGACCCGUAAUCCGGGUUGCGGACAGUGUCUGGUGGGUAGUUUGACUGGGGCGGUCUCCUCCUAAAGAGUAACGGAGGAGCACGAAGGUUGGCUAAUCCUGGUCGGACAUCAGGAGGUUAGUGCAAUGGCAUAAGCCAGCUUGACUGCGAGCGUGACGGCGCGAGCAGGUGCGAAAGCAGGUCAUAGUGAUCCGGUGGUUCUGAAUGGAAGGGCCAUCGCUCAACGGAUAAAAGGUACUCCGGGGAUAACAGGCUGAUACCGCCCAAGAGUUCAUAUCGACGGCGGUGUUUGGCACCUCGAUGUCGGCUCAUCACAUCCUGGGGCUGAAGUAGGUCCCAAGGGUAUGGCUGUUCGCCAUUUAAAGUGGUACGCGAGCUGGGUUUAGAACGUCGUGAGACAGUUCGGUCCCUAUCUGCCGUGGGCGCUGGAGAACUGAGGGGGGCUGCUCCUAGUACGAGAGGACCGGAGUGGACGCAUCACUGGUGUUCGGGUUGUCAUGCCAAUGGCACUGCCCGGUAGCUAAAUGCGGAAGAGAUAAGUGCUGAAAGCAUCUAAGCACGAAACUUGCCCCGAGAUGAGUUCUCCCUGAGACUUAGAGUCUCCUGAAGGAACGUUGAAGACGACGACG
RNAcentral lists this ribosomal RNA (1744 nucleotides) under Salmonella enterica subsp. enterica serovar Albany. Its description in RNAcentral is "partial 23S ribosomal RNA". It matches the Rfam family "Bacterial large subunit ribosomal RNA", at positions 1154 to 2852 of the family's 2925-position model. The record is from RNAcentral. Lineage: Bacteria; Pseudomonadati; Pseudomonadota; Gammaproteobacteria; Enterobacterales; Enterobacteriaceae.